Molecule: ribosomal RNA, 253 nt
Filed under: uncultured bacterium
Lineage: Bacteria
Description: partial 16S ribosomal RNA
Rfam family: Bacterial small subunit ribosomal RNA
Source: RNAcentral
UACGUAGGUGGCAAGCGUUGUUCGGAAUUAUUGGGCGUAAAGCGCGCGUAGGCGGUUUUUUAAGUCUGAUGUGAAAGCCCACGGCUCAACCGUGGAGGGUCAUUGGAAGCUGGGGGACUUGAGUACUGGAGAGGAGAGUGGAAUUCCAUGUGUAGCGGUGAAAUGCGUAGAUAUAUGGAGGAACACCAGUGGCGAAGGCGGCUCUCUGGCCAGUAACUGACGCUGAGGCGCGAAAGCGUGGGGAGCAAACAGG